GCACCUCGAUGUCGGCUCAUCACAUCCUGGGGCUGAAGUAGGUCCCAAGGGUAUGGCUGUUCGCCAUUUAAAGUGGUACGCGAGCUGGGUUUAGAACGUCGUGAGACAGUUCGGUCCCUAUCUGCCGUGGGCGCUGGAGAACUGAGGGGGGCUGCUCCUAGUACGAGAGGACCGGAGUGGACGCAUCACUGGUGUUCGGGUUGUCAUGCCAAUGGCACUGCCCGGUAGCUAAAUGCGGAAGAGAUAAGUGCUGAAAGCAUCUAAGCACGAAACUUGCCCCGAGAUGAGUUCUCCCUGACUCCUUGAGAGUCCUGAAGGAACGUUGAAGACGACGACGUUGAUAGGCCGGGUGUGUAAGCGCAGCGAUGCGUUGAGCUAACCGGUACUAAUGAACCGUGAGGCUUAACCUUACAACGCCGAAGGUGUUU
This 428-nucleotide ribosomal RNA is filed under the name Escherichia coli. RNAcentral's name for it is "partial 23S ribosomal RNA". It matches the Rfam family "Bacterial large subunit ribosomal RNA", at positions 2521 to 2925 of the family's 2925-position model. The record is from RNAcentral. Lineage: Bacteria; Pseudomonadati; Pseudomonadota; Gammaproteobacteria; Enterobacterales; Enterobacteriaceae.